CCUACGGGUGGCAGCAGUCGAGAAUAAUUCACAAUGGACGAAAGUCUGAUGGUGCAACGCCGCGUGGAGGAUGAAGGUCUUCGGAUUGUAAACUCCUGUCAUUGGGGAGUAAGACCUGGCGGUCAAUAGCCGACAGGGUUGAUAGUACCCAAAGAGGAAGGGACGGCUAACUUCGUGCCAGCAGCCGCGGUAAUACGAAGGUCCCGAGCGUUGUUCGGAAUCACUGGGCGUAAAGGGAGCGUAGGCGGCGUGGUAAGUCAGGUGUGAAAUCCCGGGGCUCAACCCCGGAACUGCACCCGAUACUGCCGUGCUCGAGGGUUGGAGAGGUAGCUGGAAUUCUCGGUGUAGCAGUGAAAUGCGUGGAUAUCGAGAGGAACACUCGUGGCGAAGGCGAGCUACUGGACAACAUCUGACGCUGAGGCUCGAAGGCCAGGGGAGCA
RNAcentral lists this ribosomal RNA (440 nucleotides) under uncultured bacterium. Its description in RNAcentral is "bacterial SSU rRNA". It matches the Rfam family "Bacterial small subunit ribosomal RNA", at positions 338 to 770 of the family's 1533-position model. The record is from RNAcentral.